RNAcentral lists this ribosomal RNA (506 nucleotides) under uncultured bacterium. RNAcentral's name for it is "partial 16S ribosomal RNA". It matches the Rfam family "Bacterial small subunit ribosomal RNA", at positions 29 to 523 of the family's 1533-position model. The record is from RNAcentral.
AGUGAACGCUGGCGGUAGGCCUAACACAUGCAAGUCGAACGGCAGCACAGGAGAGCUUGCUCUCUGGGUGGCGAGUGGCGGACGGGUGAGGAAUACAUCGGAAUCUACUUUUUCGUGGGGGAUAACGUAGGGAAACUUACGCUAAUACCGCAUACGACCUACGGGUGAAAGCAGGGGACCUUCGGGCCUUGCGCGAUUGAAUGAGCCGAUUUCGGAUUAGCUAGUUGGCGGGGUAAAGGCCCACCAAGGCGACGAUCCGUAGCUGGUCUGAGAGGAUGAUCAGCCACACUGGAACUGAGACACGGUCCAGACUCCUACGGGAGGCAGCAGUGGGGAAUAUUGGACAAUGGGCGCAAGCCUGAUCCAGCCAUACCGCGUGGGUGAAGAAGGCCUUCGGGUUGUAAAGCCCUUUUGUUGAGAAAGAAAUCCAGCUGGCUAAUACCCGGUUGGGAUGACGGUGCCCAAAGAAUAAGCACCGGCUAACUUCGUGCCAGCAGCCGCCGUAA